GGAGUUAGCCGGUGCUUCUUCUGCGAGUAACGUCACAGAUGUAAGGUAUUAACUUACACCCUUUCCUCCUCGCUGAAAGUGCUUUACAACCCGAAGGCCUUCUUCACACACGCGGCAUGGCUGCAUCAGGGUUUCCCCCAUUGUGCAAUAUUCCCCACUGCUGCCUCCCGUAGGAGUCUGGGCCGUGUCUCAGUCCCAGUGUGGCUGAUCAUCCUCUCAGACCAGCUAGGGAUCGUCGCCUAGGUGAGCCUUUACCUCACCUACUAGCUAAUCCCACCUGGGCUUAUCCAUCAGCGCAAGGCCCGAAGGUCCCCUGCUUUCCCCCGUAGGGCGUAUGCGGUAUUAGCAGUCGUUUCCAACUGUUAUCCCCCACAAAUGGGCAAAUUCCCAGGCAUUACUCACCCGUCCGCCGCUCGUCAUCUUCAAAAGCAAGCUUUUGAAAUGUUACCGCUCGACUUGCAUGUGUUAGGCCUGCCGCCAGCGUUCAAUCUGAGCCAGGAAUCGAAACCCUCGACGUACGUAGCGGCGGUCGGUCGGACGGACGGCGACGUAG
Molecule: ribosomal RNA, 553 nt
Filed under: uncultured bacterium
Lineage: Bacteria
Description: partial 16S ribosomal RNA
Source: RNAcentral